CCUCGGAUGGUCGGUCCGAGCUUGAGCUCGCACAGUCGCUCAUGUCCACGCUGAGACCGUGGGAUAGCCGCUUGGUCUGGAUGGCGAAGCGGAGCUCCUCCUUCACCAGCGGCGUAAAGCUGGUGAAAUCGUCUAGGUUUACAUGGACUGUGAAAGACAGACUGACACAACCCACACACAUUAUCUCUUCCUGUUUCUCUCAGACACAUACUAGGUUAGUGCAAGAAAAACCGUGUUAGACACAGAGACACACCUUAAGUUAAGCAUUGGAUGGAUCAAGUGAGUGAUCUCGUAAUUAUUAGUUUGUCCCAUUUCAAAACUGUUGUUUCAAAUCUCUCUUUUUCAGAUAAGAUGUUGGACAACUGCUUCCACCUUCCCUUCAUAUUAACUGUCAUAAUAAUAGAUUCUUCCUUGGUAACUACACACAUUGUCAUCCAUUGGACUACUUGAAAGUCCCUGUGAUUGCUUCCAUAAUUACCUAAGACACUAAGAACUGUAUAUGCUUCUUCCCCAGAGUGCACAAUGUUAUUCCCCCAUAUUGGCACGCUUGAUAGAUUGACUCAUACAGUACAUUAUCAAAGAAACGGAAAGUACAGCUGUUUUGUUGUAUCAAAAGAAAACACGUUUUGGAGAGCAUAACCUUUUUCAUCAAAGCUACACCUUCAUGCCCACAGGAUGUUUUGGUUUUAUUUUUGGUUUUAUCACAUAAAAUGCCUUCAGCACUCAUUGUACUGCAUCCAAAGUAACUCACCCUCUGCCACCCUCUGGAGUGGUGUCAUAGUGGCGCGACCAUGUGACUGAUGGGAAGCGGAUUGCACUUGUAUUCCGAAGACUGCAGGCAGUGGGGAGUCUUGAGCCAAUCAGGAAUCUCAGGUGAAACAGGAAGUGAGAUCCAAAACAGAUCUGCCUCGUCACUGUGCCGCAGGAAAGACCAUGGAAAAUAACAUCUCUGGAACCAAAAACAUGUUCCCCCGGAAUGUCCCGCGUAUGUGGAAUCGUCAGCAACACCUGCCUGAAUCUUCCCAUACCACAGUCACAUGAAAAAGGGAGUUUUCUGGUUGGGCUACACAGGUCUCAUUUUAGGACUGACGCUUAAGAAAAUCUUCCCCUCCCUCUUUUAAGGUAAGCUGAGGCAGAGCCGGCCCUAGGGUUCCCUCGGGAACCAAUCGUGGGACCCUAAACAAAUAUUUAGUUUGUUUAUUGGGUCUGGCCGGCCCUGAGCUGAGGUUAGUUUACCUAACACUUUACCUAACACAGGAAGGAAGAUGGUAAGAACUUCAUCUUUACAGUUCAGUAACAGGCCACAGGGUAUACAUAUAGUUGAGGGCAAUCGUGCUGCAAGGUCUGGUUUGUGAAUAUAGCUGGCUUGUCACACUGUCAGAC
Osmerus eperlanus (European smelt) is the source of this 1383-nucleotide long non-coding RNA. RefSeq lists it as uncharacterized. The transcript is spliced from 4 exons. The record is from RefSeq and is a predicted model, not a curated record. Lineage: Eukaryota; Metazoa; Chordata; Actinopteri; Osmeriformes; Osmeridae.